This 137-nucleotide small nucleolar RNA is filed under the name Ornithorhynchus anatinus (platypus). The record is from RNAcentral. Lineage: Eukaryota; Metazoa; Chordata; Mammalia; Monotremata; Ornithorhynchidae.
CCCCUCUCAGGAUCUCUCAGGAGAGUUUCCAGUACUCUACUGGUCUUGGCUGUGGGAGGGAGAGUCAAGCAGAGGCCUACCCAUUCCAUUCCUAGCUUGGCCAUUGCCUAGCGAGUGGAAGGCAAUCUGCUACAAGU